CUGGGUGAAGAGAGAUUUAAAAAUAACAAUCCUUUGUCAGUUCAGAGAGGACUUUAGUAUAACUUAGAUCUCAUAGCAGGCAAGUACUCUGGAUGUGGAAAUGAACAUGAUCUACAUCAAAUUUCAAGACAGAAGGGAGGAGAUGAGGAGACAGAGGUUCCAAGAGGCAGAAGCAAUCAUGCAGUGACAGAGCGGGGAAGUGACAGAGCUGGGAAAUGAGAUUUGGGGCAGGGAGGGGAGUCCUCAUUCCAGAGCCCAGGGAAUUUCCUUCCCUAUGUCUGGACUGUUACGCACUUGCCAUUCAGAGUACCAACUCUGCACCAGACAUCCUGCUAGGUGCCAGUGCUGGGAGGCACAGUGAAUGGGCCAGGCCUGGCCUCUGCGUGAGCCACAGUCUACCAGAAGCCCCUGAAGUGCUGAGAAUACUCAUCAGAGGCCAAAUGAAAGACUUCUUUUUGCCUCCACUCACCUACUCCCAGCCCUACCACCUGCCAGCUGUGUGACCUUGGACAAUUACCUCCCCUCUCUGCUUUAGUCCCAUGACAAUAAAAUGGCAGAAAUAUUAA
Cebus imitator (Panamanian white-faced capuchin) is the source of this 566-nucleotide long non-coding RNA. RefSeq lists it as uncharacterized. The record is from RefSeq and is a predicted model, not a curated record. The transcript has 3 exons. Lineage: Eukaryota; Metazoa; Chordata; Mammalia; Primates; Cebidae.